RNAcentral lists this ribosomal RNA (479 nucleotides) under Stutzerimonas stutzeri. RNAcentral's name for it is "bacterial SSU rRNA". It matches the Rfam family "Bacterial small subunit ribosomal RNA", at positions 51 to 526 of the family's 1533-position model. Lineage: Bacteria; Pseudomonadati; Pseudomonadota; Gammaproteobacteria; Pseudomonadales; Pseudomonadaceae. The record is from RNAcentral.
ACACAUGCAGUCGAGCGGAUGAGUGGAGCUUGCUCCAUGAUUCAGCGGCGGACGGGUGAGUAAUGCCUAGGAAUCUGCCUGGUAGUGGGGGACAACGUUUCGAAAGGAACGCUAAUACCGCAUACGUCCUACGGGAGAAAGUGGGGGAUCUUCGGACCUCACGCUAUCAGAUGAGCCUAGGUCGGAUUAGCUAGUUGGUGAGGUAAAGGCUCACCAAGGCGACGAUCCGUAACUGGUCUGAGAGGAUGAUCAGUCACACUGGAACUGAGACACGGUCCAGACUCCUACGGGAGGCAGCAGUGGGGAAUAUUGGACAAUGGGCGAAAGCCUGAUCCAGCCAUGCCGCGUGUGUGAAGAAGGUCUUCGGAUUGUAAAGCACUUUAAGUUGGGAGGAAGGGCAGUAAGUUAAUACCUUGCUGUUUUGACGUUACCAACAGAAUAAGCACCGGCUAACUUCGUGCCAGCAGCGCGGGUAAUAA